RNAcentral lists this long non-coding RNA (475 nucleotides) under Homo sapiens (human). RNAcentral's name for it is "HSALNT0200685". Lineage: Eukaryota; Metazoa; Chordata; Mammalia; Primates; Hominidae. The record is from RNAcentral.
AAAAUCCAUAGCAUCCAUCACUAGAGUUUCCAGGCAUCAAACCUCUGACCGGCAGAAGCAAGGGUUAAGGUGUUGGUGCCAAAUAAACCUCGGGCCCUAAACUUCUAGGCAUCUGCCUCCGGAGAAUCCAACCUGCAACACAACUUAACUAACACCUUCCUUUCCAGGACAGCUUAUGGGGUGCUCCCUUAUCAAAGAAAGGGUGCUAGCAGCUACAGGCAGCACACUCUUUUUAUCUGGGAUAAUGGUGAGAGAAGAUUUGGUGCUGUGGUCCCUGCUGGCCCCUUGAUGUACCAGCCAACUGUAGUGACUUCAAUUUGAGAUGCCUGAAGAUAGCAGGAUGCCAUUCAGUGCUGUCAGUGGAAAACACCGGACAUUUUAGUCUAGGUAUAUAUACAAUAUUUAUGGAAAAUAGAGGUCAAGAAUUCCUGCCACAUAGCAUAUGAAGAAAGAGUCUAAAUGCUCUUGCAACAGC